Long non-coding RNA from Papaver somniferum (opium poppy), 1595 nucleotides. RefSeq lists it as uncharacterized. The transcript is spliced from 2 exons. Lineage: Eukaryota; Viridiplantae; Streptophyta; Magnoliopsida; Ranunculales; Papaveraceae. The record is from RefSeq and is a predicted model, not a curated record.
GCUUCCCUUAUCACGGAUAGUGUGUGUUGAGUAUUCCCCGUUGGUCUUAUCACGACCAAAUCGAAGAGAAAAUUCAUUCUCUUAUCUUCUUCUUUCUCUUCUAUUUUCUUCUUCUCUUACUGCUCUUCUUCCCGUUCUUCUCCUGUUGCGAGAAUUUGAAAGAUUAAACGAAAGUUUUGGGAUCGAUAGAAGUUUUGUGUGAUAUUGAGGAUAAAUUGAGUAUCUGGUGAUGGGUAUUGCGAUUUGAGAUCAAGGAAGAAGGAUUUAUAUCUGAUUUCCCAUUCACAAUGAAGAAUUAGAGAAUUAGGGUGUUGAGAUUGAUGAUGAGUUCUUGUUGAAAUUGAUAAGUUACUCGGGUUGUUGAUAGAGGAUGAAUCGAGAGGGUUGUUGUGUGAUUGGUCCGGCAGAGUUGUGAUAGUGAAGAAUUAUGAGUUAGGGUUUCUGGAAGAAAUCAGAAGAAGAGUUAGAUGAUGAAAUUGAAGGUUUAAAGGAUUAAUUAGAAGAUGAGUUUAUUCUUAAUUGGUGUUUGAUGGAAGUUAUGGGUUGUUCUGUGAAGUUUCAACGAAUUAGGGUUUCUGCUAGUUGAGAUUUAAUUGAUAAUGAACCAUGAGAAAUUGGAACAAGAUGUUAAUUGGUAGAAUUGGAUUGGGGGAAACUCAAUUCAGUGGAUGCUGAUACUUGGGUAAGUCUCUAAAUUGAUUCAGUUCUAGUAUUUUAAUUUGAAUGGUUUUAAUUAUUGAGACUGGGUGAUUAUGAAUGCAUAUGAGUUUUAGAUGAAUUAGUAUGAAGAUGUGGUUGUAUAUGUAUGUAUGCUUGCAGGGGUAUAAUGAUUAUUGCAGGACAUGAAUGUUCCUUGGGUAUGUCUGAAUUUGUGGGUGGUGCCGAUUUGAUUGUAGAGAAUUGUAAAUAUUGGGUACCAGAUAUGUGUAUGUGUUGGUAUGAAUUAAAAUGGAGUUUCUUGAGAGAGUUUCGUAAAUGGGGGUAUGAUGUAUCAGUAUUGUUGCAAGGAAGGGUAGUUUGAAUUCCAGAUGCCGAUACAUAAGUUAGUGAAAUGGGAAUGGAGAUUUCAAGUUGUAACAGUAGUGCUGAAUUCAGACUGAACUUGGUGGUGGUAAUAUUUUCAGAACCUUGAGUUGGGAGAGUAGAAUUUGUAUGUGAAUGAUGUAUAGAAUCACAGUUGGUUAAUCUUUUUGAAAGUCUGCUGCUACUGCAAUUGCAGGGUUUUGUUGGUGAGGAAGAAGAGUUUGGGUUUUCUGAAACAGUCGCUGCAUGAUGAGUUGAAGCAAUGGAUGAAGAGAUAGUCCACAACAAUAGGAAGAAGAAGAAGACAUCCAAAUCAUGAAAUGGGUAAUUGUAAAAAUUGAUGAUUUCUUUUGAUUCAAUUUGUGAAUAUUUUUAAGUUAGGAUUCUUCAGUUCCUCAUGAGAUCAAUUGUUUUGAUUUUAUUUUAUUUAUUCAUUCUGAUUUUGAGGUGAUUGAUUGAAUAGAAGAAGAGGUGAAUUGGGUUUAAUUUGAAAUCCACUGGAGCUUCCGAAUUCAGUGUAUUUAAGUUUCUUUUUCUUUUAUGAUUUGAAUAAAUUGACUCAAUUCGAGAUG